GAAAAAACAUACAGUUAGCCAUUGUUAGCGUUAACUAUAAAAUAUCAACCAAGUCCUGUCUACAACGAGAAUGAAAUACUACCUGAUGUUUAACAGGAUUCCUAGGACCUUUUCUGAGAUGAUUUGUGGAUACAGGCCCUGAUUGGCUGAUAGAAUCGUCAACAACAACAAAAAGGCACAUGGUAUUCAACCUGUCAGUUGGAGCUGGACCCUGAAAGCCUGUCAGUUGGAGCUGGACCCUGAAAGCCUGUCAGUUGGAGCUGGACCCCGAAAGCCUGUCAGUUGGAGCUGGACCCCGAAAGCCUGUCAGUUGGAGCUGGACCCCGAAAGCCUGUCAAUUGGAGCUGGACCCCGAAAGCCUGUCAGUUGGAGCUGGACCCCGAAAGCCUGUCAGUUGGAGCUGGACCCCGAAAGCCUGUCAGUUGGAGCUGGACCCCGAAAGCCUGUCAGUUGGAUCUGAAGCUGGACCCCGAAAGCCUGUCAGUUGGAUCUGAAGCUGGAACCCGAAAGCCUGUCAGUUGGAUCUGGACCCCGAAAGCCUGUCAGUUGGAGCUGGACCCCGAAAGCCUGUCAGUUGGAGCUGGACCCCGAAAGCCUGUCAGUUGGAUCUGAAGCUGGACCCCGAAAGUCUGUCAGUUGGAGCUGAAGCUGGACCCCGAAAGCCUGUCAGUUGGAUCUGAAGCUGGACCCCGAAAGCGACAAACUUCCACAAGUGUGUAGGCUACUUUGUUUUGUCAUCAAAACAAAAAAAGACAUACAUCAUAAUUUGCUCUAUCAUUCUUGUACUGUUUUCAAUAGGUCACCAGAAGAUGCAGGACGAGAGGGGUAUCCUACGAAGCAAGCUAGAUCUACUCAGUUUUCUAAAGCUAGCUAGCUUCACUUCGCAUCCAAUUCAAGCUCAUUCAUCCAUACUGUAGCGACCCGCACAGACAGCUGUGUGUUAUGUGCUAGGCUAGGAGGUGGUUGUGUUGUACUGACCAGUACCCGGUGUUCGCGGGGUCCGACAUGUCAAUCAACCUGCUAUCUGCCAAUCACGGGAAUGCCUGGAAUGUUCUGAUGCCGGGCAUCCUGGUGGUUGGCGGAGUGGCGUGGAGGGGGGUUGGGCAUUGGAAGUUAAGACCAGGUUCAGCCUUUGUUCUCUCUCUCUUACGUCUGGGCUUCACAAGAGAAGGUCACGAUUGGCUUGUGGGUUAUCUGUCAUCUAUUUGGCGUGUGCUACGGCCCAAACAGUAGCCUGUGUAAAGUUGGUUCAAUAAACCGUCAAUUCGCAAACUCAA
Long non-coding RNA from Oncorhynchus nerka (sockeye salmon), 1277 nucleotides. RefSeq lists it as uncharacterized. The record is from RefSeq and is a predicted model, not a curated record. The transcript has 2 exons. NCBI's taxonomy places the organism in Eukaryota, Metazoa, Chordata, Actinopteri, Salmoniformes, Salmonidae.